Molecule: long non-coding RNA, 1230 nt
Filed under: Ursus thibetanus thibetanus
Lineage: Eukaryota; Metazoa; Chordata; Mammalia; Carnivora; Ursidae
Description: lncRNA (ENSUTTG00000003472.1)
Source: RNAcentral
CUUGGGGACAAAGCAAGGUAGUGCCUUGUGCUUGGGGUAAUGAUAACUGGGAUGCGCACAGGACGGUCUGACAGCAGAGUUUGUGUUCGGUGUGCCGGACCCAAUAAAUGGGAAGGCAUGGCCGCCCUCUGUGGCUUUCCAUCCGUCCCCUCGCUUCUCUUCCUCAUCUGCAUUGCCAGCCCCAGCCGGGCCCCUCCAGCAGAUGUGGUGGGAGGGGGAGCAGGCUGGCACUCAAGAGUACCCCAACCUGUGUCAGCAGGGCUGCUGGCAAAUAUGGGAGACACAGGGGAAAUCUACCAGUACUAGUCAUCUACCGCACUUCUCAGCGAGCUCAGAGAAGCUGUUUCCCCCUAACUACGGUGAAGUUCCAUGUAGGUUAUAUAAUAACACCAUGCAUUUGGGUAAUUAUUCUCUUACAGUUAUCAUUUUUGUAACGCCUCCUUGUGAAACAUUUUCAUAUGCAGUAUCCCAUCUGGCUCCGCGAACUCUGACAAGCAAGCAUGGCCCUCCAGGUCCUACAGGUGAGGAAACAGAAUCAGAGAUGGUCAAUAAAAAAUACCAGUUCACUCAUAAAGAAGGCACAGAGAAUAUGCCAGGCACUGUUCAAAGUGUUGUAAAUAUUAAUAUUUAUUUCGUCUUCGCAACAACCUUGUGAGUUGGGUACUAUUAUCCUUCUCGUUUUACAGAUGCGGUUAAGUCGGGCUCAGAGGGGUUAAUGAAUUGUCAUGCAUGGGUCACACAGUUUCACAUGGGAGACACACAGAAUUGGAACUCAGGUUGACAGGUUCUAGAGCUCUCCAGCCUCUUGUUGACUUGGUCAAAGUCACAGAGCUGGAAAGAGGCAAAAGGCAAAGCCUGGCUGGACUUACAGCCCUGCUUUCCACUUGGCAGCAAUAGCUCACACAUCCCAGGGUUGAACGUGGGCCCCUUUUGCUCACUUUAGUUCUGUUACUUUACUUAAGCCUUCCCACGCUGCAAGAGAGGAAACUGAGGCAUAGAGGUAAAGUGACUUGCCCGAGGUGGCAAAGUGAGCAAGUGGCAGAGAAAGGAUUUGAAUCCUUUCUGGACCUCAAGCCCCUAGUCCUCAUUUACAGCCUGUCCUCCCGGCUGCCCCUACCCAUAGAGUUUUCCAUUGUUCUCCCUGGUGUCCAGAGUCAUAGGUAAGUUUCCGUCCGUGCAAAGUCUAAGGGGUUUCCGGUCACUGCUGGCUUUCUGUUUACUUUGCUGAAC